Molecule: ribosomal RNA, 497 nt
Filed under: uncultured bacterium
Lineage: Bacteria
Description: partial 16S ribosomal RNA
Rfam family: Bacterial small subunit ribosomal RNA
Source: RNAcentral
GAUGAACGCUGGCGGCGUGCCUAAUACAUGCAAGUCGAGCGAACAGACGAGGAGCUUGCUCCUCUGACGUUAGCGGCGGACGGGUGAGUAACACGUGGAUAACCUACCUAUAAGACUGGGAUAACUUCGGGAAACCGGAGCUAAUACCAGAUAAUAUAUUGAACCGCAUGGUUCAAUAGUGAAAGACGGUCUUGCUGUCACUUAUAGAUGGAUCCGCGCCGCAUUAGCUAGUUGGUAAGGUAACGGCUUACCAAGGCAACGAUGCGUAGCCGACCUGAGAGGGUGAUCGGCCACACUGGAACUGAGACACGGUCCAGACUCCUACGGGAGGCAGCAGUAGGGAAUCUUCCGCAAUGGGCGAAAGCCUGACGGAGCAACGCCGCGUGAGUGAUGAAGGUCUUCGGAUCGUAAAACUCUGUUAUUAGGGAAGAACAAAUGUGUAAGUAACUAUGCACAUCUUGACGGUACCUAAUCAGAAAGCCACGGCUAACUACGUG